UAAGGGAGACCUACCCACUCAAAUUACCGAAGACAAGUUGAAGUUGUAAAUAGGUAAUGAGUUGGUCAUCCCAGGUCGGUCGGAGAUUAGAAAAUAGGCUUUCAAACUAUUAGAAUGGUUCGGUAAUCUCAAAGUAAAAUCACAAGCUGAUAGUUAAGUACCAGUUCAGCAACUUAGCAUCAUAAUAUCGUUAGCUAAGACUGCUGGGUGAGAGUCCAGCCAGAACCUUGAAAACUGCAUAGAGAAGCGAAUGUAUGGUAGUUCAGUCAAAAGUGAGCAGUGAACAGUAAUACUGAGAACUGAAAACAGAAGACUGAGUAACAGACACCAAUGUUGUGAGAAGU
Molecule: unclassified non-coding RNA, 344 nt
Filed under: Westiellopsis sp. Ar73
Lineage: Bacteria; Bacillati; Cyanobacteriota; Cyanophyceae; Nostocales; Hapalosiphonaceae
Description: 16S-23S ribosomal RNA intergenic spacer
Source: RNAcentral